This 288-nucleotide long non-coding RNA is filed under the name Panax ginseng (ginseng). RNAcentral describes it as "long non-coding RNA (PGIN_LNC016046)". The record is from RNAcentral. Lineage: Eukaryota; Viridiplantae; Streptophyta; Magnoliopsida; Apiales; Araliaceae.
GAAAGGAAAGGAAAUUCAUUUACAAGGCCUUGCAAAGAAAUUCCUAGAGAGAGAGAAAAAAACCCAAUCCUGUUCAAUAUAGGGAAUUCAGUCAGUCACGCACAAACUUUUCCCCUCUUAUUUCUUCUCCAAACGCGCAUUCAAUUUGAUUUCCCACCCUAUUAAACACCAUUUCAACGAUACUUGUAUUCAUACCAUAAAUUAACAAGCGCCUUUUGAACAAUCCCAAAAUCAUCAGUUGUUGUGCAAAAAUUGCAGAGUUUUUUAUUGCUUGAAUUUGAUUGAGCG